This 495-nucleotide ribosomal RNA is filed under the name uncultured bacterium. RNAcentral's name for it is "bacterial SSU rRNA". It matches the Rfam family "Bacterial small subunit ribosomal RNA", at positions 17 to 507 of the family's 1533-position model. The record is from RNAcentral.
UCCUGGCUCAGAUUGAACGCUGGCGGCAGGCCUAACACAUGCAAGUCGAGCGGUAGAGAGGUGCUUGCAUCUCUUGAGAGCGGCGGACGGGUGAGUAAUGCCUAGGAAUCUGCCUAGUGGUGGGGGAUAACGUUCGGAAACGGACGCUAAUACCGCAUACGUCCUACGGGAGAAAGCGGGGGAUCUUCGGACCUCGCGCCAUUAGAUGAGCCUAGGUCGGAUUAGCUAGUUGGUGAGGUAAUGGCUCACCAAGGCGACGAUCCGUAACUGGUCUGAGAGGAUGAUCAGUCACACUGGAACUGAGACACGGUCCAGACUCCUACGGGAGGCAGCAGUGGGGAAUAUUGGACAAUGGGCGAAAGCCUGAUCCAGCCAUGCCGCGUGUGUGAAGAAGGUCUUCGGAUUGUAAAGCACUUUAAGUUGGGAGGAAGGGUAGUAACCUAAUACGUUGCUACUUUGACGUUACCGACAGAAUAAGCACCGGCUAACUUCGUG